GGCUCAGGAUGAACGCUAGCGGCAGGCUUAACACAUGCAAGUCGAGGGGCAUCGGGAGUAGCAAUACUGCCGGCGACCGGCGCAAGGGUGCGUAACGCGUGAGCAACAUGCCCGUAUCAGGGGGAUAAUCCAUGGAAACGUGGUCUAAUACCCCAUAGUAAUUAUGUAAGGCAUCUUAUAUAAUUUAAAGCUUUGGUGGAUACGGAUUGGCUCGCGUGACAUUAGCUGGAUGGUAAGGUAACGGCUUACCAUGGCUACGAUGUCUAGGGGUUCUGAGAGGAAGGUCCCCCCACACUGGAACUGAGACACGGUCCAGACUCCUACGGGAGGCAGCAGUGAGGAAUAUUGGACAAUGGAUGGAAAUCUGAUCCAGCCAUGCCGCGUGCAGGAAAGACGGCCCUAUGGGUUGUAAACUGCUUUUGUAUGGGAGCAAUAAGGGCUACGUGUAGUCCGAUGAGAGUACCAUACGAAUAAGCACCGGCUAACUCCGUGCCAGCAGCCGC
Molecule: ribosomal RNA, 503 nt
Filed under: uncultured bacterium
Lineage: Bacteria
Description: bacterial SSU rRNA
Rfam family: Bacterial small subunit ribosomal RNA
Source: RNAcentral